RNAcentral lists this long non-coding RNA (278 nucleotides) under Nicotiana benthamiana. RNAcentral describes it as "long non-coding RNA (NBEN_LNC009669)". The record is from RNAcentral. Lineage: Eukaryota; Viridiplantae; Streptophyta; Magnoliopsida; Solanales; Solanaceae.
GUCUUGAUCUUGAUUUCUCUCUGGUUCUGUGUUGAUUUGAUUUUUGUUAGUUUUCAUUCUGCUCGUAGUUGUUUCUUUACCUAUUCCUUUUAACUAGGUUAGUAUAAGUUUGUUUUGAGUCCGAUUAAUCUGCUUGGUUCAUUUUGGUUUUAAUUCGAAUACGCUUUGAUAUAUAGUUUAAUUCAGUGUUCAUUAGCAUAUGUUUAAAUUUUUCUAAUCUGUUUUAAAUCAGUAUUGUUUAGUUAAUAUCUGAUUUUGAUUAGUUUCGUCUCAGUCAA